This 71-nucleotide transfer RNA is filed under the name Desmognathus organi (northern pygmy salamander). RNAcentral's name for it is "tRNA-Trp". It matches the Rfam family "tRNA". From Rfam's summary of the family: Transfer RNA (tRNA) molecules are approximately 80 nucleotides in length. Their secondary structure includes four short double-helical elements and three loops (D, anti-codon, and T loops). The record is from RNAcentral. Lineage: Eukaryota; Metazoa; Chordata; Amphibia; Caudata; Plethodontidae.
AAAGAUUUAAGCUAACAAGACUAAAAGCCUUCAAAGCCUUAAGUAGAAGUUAAAAUCUUCUAAUCUUUGAC